This 373-nucleotide long non-coding RNA is filed under the name Salmo salar (Atlantic salmon). Its description in RNAcentral is "lncRNA (ENSSSAG00000082228.1)". Lineage: Eukaryota; Metazoa; Chordata; Actinopteri; Salmoniformes; Salmonidae. The record is from RNAcentral.
GUGUAUUGUCUGUGUGUAUUAACAGUGUAUUGUCUGUGUGUAUUAACAGUGUAUUGUCUGUGUGUAUUAACAGUGUAUUGUCUGUGUGUAUUAAGUGUGUCUGUGUAUUAACAGUGUGUCUGUGUGUAUUAACAGUGUGUCUGUGUGUAUUAACUGUGUGUCUGUGUGUAUUAACUGUGUGUCUGUGUGUAUUAACUGUGUGUCUGUGUGUAUUAACUGUGUGUCUGUGUGUAUUAACUGUGUGUCUGUGUGUAUUAACUGUGUGUCUGUGUGUUGUGUCUGUGUGUCUGUGUGUGUCUGUGUGUAUUGUCUGUGUGUCUGUGUGUAUUGUCUGUGUGUCUGUGUGUAUUGUCUGUGUGUCUGUGUGUAUUAA